Molecule: ribosomal RNA, 650 nt
Filed under: fungal endophyte sp. M11-3173
Lineage: Eukaryota; Fungi
Description: eukaryotic LSU rRNA
Rfam family: 5.8S ribosomal RNA (bases 303-456)
Source: RNAcentral
CCUUCUCUGCUUUGUUCACGGUCGCAACCUGGGUCUCCCAAAAGAAAAAAUGAACUAUCAGAAGUAAAAGUCGUAACAAGGUCUCCGUUGGUGAACCAGCGGAGGGAUCAUUGCUGGAACAAACGCCCUCACGGGUGCUACCCAGAAACCCUUUGUGAACUUAUAUAAACUGUUGCCUCGGCAUUGGUUGGCUUCGAAUGAAGUCCCUCGUUCCCUUGUGGAGUGAGGAGCAGACCGGCCGAUGGCCCCUAUAAACUCUUGUUUUUGUACUAUCUUCUGAGUAAAACAACUAAAUGAAUCAAAACUUUCAACAACGGAUCUCUUGGUUCUGGCAUCGAUGAAGAACGCAGCGAAAUGCGAUAAGUAAUGUGAAUUGCAGAAUUCAGUGAAUCAUCGAAUCUUUGAACGCACAUUGCGCCCGGUGGUAUUCCACCGGGCAUGCCUGUUCGAGCGUCAUUUCAACCCUCAAAAAUCUUGUAUUUUUGGUGUUGGAGGAAUACCUGUCACAGGGUACCCUCUGAAAUUUAGUGGCGGGCUCGCUAGAAUUUUGAGCGUAGUAAUUUUACCUCGUUUUUAAAGACUAGUGGGACUUCUUGCCGUAAAACCCCCCAACUUUCUGAAAUUGACCUCGGAUCAGGUAGAUCCAACGU